GUGAGGGGAAGAUGAUUGUAUUUCUGCUCCAGAGCCGACUACCAGUGCCGAAUUUCUUUGUCAUUAAGCUGUGUUUGACUGUAGAAGCUGAGUUGCGCCAGAAAGGCUGGGGUCGACCGUCAAGGUCGGCAAAGAUUCGCUCCAGGGUUGCGCAGAGCAACGCUUUCAAUGUCACGCCGACGCUUUUCCUGUGAGAAAGGCUACUCUGUAAACAAGACAACGAAUGGAAAGUGGAUCCUUUUCAAGUUGCCUGAGGAACUCUGAAGGUUUCAGAUAGGCGAUGGGUUGGGUUUGGUCCAUCUGAUUGAUGUAAAAGUGGAAAAUGUGACAUUAAGGUGAGGAAGAUACGCUGCUUUCAUGCUAAAAAAUGGAAGAAAUGACCCUUGACUUCCCUUGAAAUUCAACAACACCAAAGUUUUGGGAGAAAAAUAUGCAAAAAACAUACAUUAUCCAACAAGGAGCAGCUGUUAAAUAUUUUUCUGACUAUUAAUUGACUGUUACAAUCUCUUGCUGUCGUGCGGGUUCAAUGGACCACCCAGGAAGGACAUUGCUUUUGAGCAGGUUUGACUCUUGUUUAUUUUGCAAUAAAGCUUUGUCUU
Molecule: long non-coding RNA, 599 nt
Organism: Nerophis ophidion (straightnose pipefish)
Lineage: Eukaryota; Metazoa; Chordata; Actinopteri; Syngnathiformes; Syngnathidae
Exons: 3
Source: RefSeq, a predicted model, not a curated record